Molecule: ribosomal RNA, 480 nt
Filed under: uncultured soil bacterium
Lineage: Bacteria
Description: bacterial SSU rRNA
Rfam family: Bacterial small subunit ribosomal RNA
Source: RNAcentral
AGGACGAACGCUGGCGGCGUGCUUAACACAUGCAAGUCAAGGGGACCCGCAAGGGUAACCGGCGAACGGGUGCGUAACACGUGAGCAACCUACCGAGAUCUGGGGGAUAGCCGGCCCAACGGCCGGGUAAUACCGCAUACGCUCUUUCCACGGCAUUGUGGAUUGAGGAAACCUCCGGGGGAUUUCGAGGGGCUCGCGGCCUAUCAGCUAGUUGGCGAGGUCACGGCUCACCAAGGCGACGACGGGUAGCUGGUCUGAGAGGAUGGCCAGCCACAUUGGGACUGAGAAACGGCCCAGACUCCUACGGGAGGCAGCAGUGGGGAAUCUUGCGCAAUGGCCGAAAGGCUGACGCAGCGACGCCGCGUGUGGGAGGAAGCCUUUCGGGGUGUAAACCACGUGUUGCCCGGGACGAACAGCUCCUUCGUGGAGCCUGACGGUACCGGUGAGGAAGCGACCGGCUAACUCCGUGCCAGCAGCCGC